UACGUAGGUGGCUAGCGUUAUCCGGAUUUAUUGGGCGUAAAGAGGGCGCGGGCGGCUCUUUAAGUCGAGUGUGAAAUCUCCUGGCUUAACUGGGAGGAGUCAUUCGAUACUGGAGGGCUUGAGGGCAGCAGAGGGAGACGGAAUUCCCGGUGUAGUGGUGAAAUGCGUAGAUAUCGGGAGGAACACCAGUGGCGAAAGCGGUCUUCUGGGCUGUUCCUGACGCUGAGGCCCGAAAGCAUGGGGAG
Molecule: ribosomal RNA, 245 nt
Filed under: uncultured bacterium
Lineage: Bacteria
Description: partial 16S ribosomal RNA
Rfam family: Bacterial small subunit ribosomal RNA
Source: RNAcentral